CAGGAGGAGGGGGAGGGGCGGAGCGUGGCAGCUGGCAGUAGUUCCGUCAGAGCGGACAUCUUGUGGCUGUGUCGUGCGCGUGAGCCCCGUAGGGCCGGGGAGGCACCAGCUGCCGCGCGGGGAGGAGGCCGAGGCCGCAGCUUGAGGGAGGCCCCGGCCCCUCUGCGCCUGUGUCUGGCAGAGCUGGUGUGAGACGAGACAAUCCUGCCCCGCCGCCGGGAUAAUCAAGAGUUUUGGCCGGACCUUUGAGCAUACACCGAGAGAGUGAGGAGCCAGACGACAAGCACACACUAUGGCGCUGAAACGGAUUAAUAAGGAACUUAGUGAUUUGGCCCGUGACCCUCCAGCACAAUGUUCUGCAGGUCCAGUUGGGGAUGAUAUGUUUCAUUGGCAAGCCACAAUUAUGGGACCUAUAAGCAACUAUAUGCUGGAUAAUUGAAUAUUCAGAAUUAUGGAUACCAUCUAAGAAUUUCAGAGAAUUAGAGCGCACUAAAACAUCCUGGGAAUGACAGCCCAUAUCAAGGCGGUGUAUUCUUUUUGACAAUUCAUUUUCCUACAGACUACCCCUUCAAACCACCUAAGGUUGCAUUUACAACAAGAAUUUAU
This 606-nucleotide long non-coding RNA is filed under the name Pan troglodytes (chimpanzee). Its description in RNAcentral is "long non-coding RNA NONPTRT013157". Lineage: Eukaryota; Metazoa; Chordata; Mammalia; Primates; Hominidae. The record is from RNAcentral.